Molecule: ribosomal RNA, 372 nt
Filed under: uncultured Glomeromycotina
Lineage: Eukaryota; Fungi; Glomeromycota
Description: LSU rRNA
Source: RNAcentral
UUGAAAGGGAAACGAUUGAAGUCAGUCGUACCAGCGGAAAUCAACCUUUCGGGUGGGAUUUUGGAGUUUUGAAGAGUGUUAAAACCUUUGAGAUUUCAAAAUUUUCGCUCCUUUGGUGUACUUUCUCGUGGGUAGGUUAACAUCGAUUUCGAUCAUCAUAAAAGGAUUGGAGGAAUGUAGCUUCGAUCUUGUAUUGAAGUGUUAUAGCCUUCGGUAGAUGUGGUGAUCGAGAUUGAGGAUUGCAACGGAUACCUUUCGGGGCUACCUGUCUGAUCUCUGAUCGUUGCUUUGGUGCUGAAAGCGUGCUUAUAGUUAUCAAAGUCGAUGGUCAAUAGGUUAGAAUGGGUUAAAUUCGUUAAGGAUGUUGACGUA